Molecule: long non-coding RNA, 310 nt
Filed under: Notechis scutatus (mainland tiger snake)
Lineage: Eukaryota; Metazoa; Chordata; Lepidosauria; Squamata; Elapidae
Description: lncRNA (ENSNSUG00000002020.1)
Source: RNAcentral
AGAUUAUUUAUGAAGCAGAUACUUUGAAAUCAUUAGAGACCGAAGAAGAGAGCAAGGAAUCUAGUAGUUCCAGCUCUGAGGAAGAAGAAGAAGCUGAAGAAGAGGAAGUUUCAGAGUCAGAUGCUGAAAAGGAGGCAGAGAGCAAAGAAGAGUCUGUUGCAAACCAUUCCAAUCAUGAAUCCAGAAUUCUCAUCACAGAACAAACACCACCCCCAGAACAUAACACUUUUACGAUGGCUCCUGCUAGAAAAUGUAGUUCGUUGCUCAACAAGCCUGAGGAACAAAAAGAUGAAUCACCAUCAUCAUGGAG